GUCUCUGUGGUCUAGUGGUUAAGGCACCGGCGUUAAAAGCUGGGAGCCCGGGUUCGAUUCCCGGCAGGGACA
Molecule: transfer RNA, 72 nt
Filed under: Lytechinus variegatus (green sea urchin)
Lineage: Eukaryota; Metazoa; Echinodermata; Echinoidea; Temnopleuroida; Toxopneustidae
Description: tRNA-Leu
Rfam family: tRNA
About the family: Transfer RNA (tRNA) molecules are approximately 80 nucleotides in length. Their secondary structure includes four short double-helical elements and three loops (D, anti-codon, and T loops). Further hydrogen bonds mediate the characteristic L-shaped molecular structure. tRNAs have two regions of fundamental functional importance: the anti-codon, which is responsible for specific mRNA codon recognition, and the 3' end, to which the tRNAs corresponding amino acid is attached (by aminoacyl-tRNA synthetases). tRNAs cope with the degeneracy of the genetic code in two manners: having more than one tRNA (with a specific anti-codon) for a particular amino acid; and 'wobble' base-pairing, i.e. permitting non-standard base-pairing at the 3rd anti-codon position.
Source: RNAcentral